RNAcentral lists this long non-coding RNA (509 nucleotides) under Capsicum annuum. Its description in RNAcentral is "long non-coding RNA (CANN_LNC016865)". The record is from RNAcentral. Lineage: Eukaryota; Viridiplantae; Streptophyta; Magnoliopsida; Solanales; Solanaceae.
AUCCAACGUGUUGAUCCGUCGUCUGUGAUCCUCUGGUGCCGUCCGAAGAUAAUAUUUUAGCUCUUCCCGAUAAGUUGAUGUGUAAGUUCUCUCAUCAACACUGUUCCAACAAUUUAAAUCAUAAAACGAAUCAGAAAAACCACUAUGUGCCAGCCAUUUAGAAGAUGAUGGCUCCUCAGGGGAUGAGGAGUGACAGUUGGAGUGAUAUUUGUAGGUACGACUAAAUCAAAUAAAUCAGUAUAGUGAUUAUAUAAUUUUUCUAUGUAAUCCUUUGCAUCAGUCGUAGCCGUCCACAAAUCAGGUUGUACUUGUUCAGAAUCAUGGUUAGUAUUUAUUUCUAAGUUAGUAUAAAUAAGAGUACUAAAGUGGCACAUAUUAUUAUAUUUCAUGCACGGAUUUAGCAUAGCACCAACCAAGUAAAUAGGGGGAAUCGAGAAAAAUAUUUUUUAAAUUUCGUAAACAUGGCACCAACAGAUUCUUUAUAACCUUCUUUAUUUUUAUAUUCUUUG